GCAAGCGUUGUUCGGAAUUAUUGGGCGUAAAGGGCGCGUAGGCGGCCUUCUAAGUCGAACGUGAAAUCCCCGGGCUCAACCCGGGAACUGCGUCCGAUACUGGAAGGCUUGAAUCCGGGAGAGGGAUGCGGAAUUCCAGGUGUAGCGGUGAAAUGCGUAGAUAUCUGGAGGAACACCGGUGGCGAAGGCUGCAUCCUGGACCGGCAUUGACGCUGAGGCUCGAAAGCCAGGGGAGCAAACGGG
RNAcentral lists this ribosomal RNA (243 nucleotides) under uncultured bacterium. RNAcentral describes it as "partial 16S ribosomal RNA". It matches the Rfam family "Bacterial small subunit ribosomal RNA", at positions 534 to 776 of the family's 1533-position model. The record is from RNAcentral.